CAGUCGCCACGGGAAUACGGAGGAUGCAAGCGUUAUCCGGAAUGAUUGGGCGUAAAGCGUCUGUAGGUGGUUUAUUAAGUCUGCUGUUAAAGCACAGGGCUCAACCCUGUAUGGGCGGUAGAAACUGGUAGGCUUGAGUAUGGUAGGGGUAGAGGGAAUUCCCGAUGUAGUGGUGAAAUGCGUUGAUAUCGGGAAGAACACCAAAGGCGAAAGCACUCUGCUGGGCCAAUACUGACACUGAGAGACGAAAGCUAGGGGAGCAAAUGGGAUUAGAUACCCGGGUAGUCCCUGUCUCUUAUAC
RNAcentral lists this ribosomal RNA (301 nucleotides) under uncultured bacterium. RNAcentral's name for it is "partial 16S ribosomal RNA". It matches the Rfam family "Bacterial small subunit ribosomal RNA", at positions 509 to 807 of the family's 1533-position model. The record is from RNAcentral.